UAGGUGGCGCGUUAAGUCAGUUGUGAAAUCCCCGGGCUCAACCCGGGAAUAGCUUCUGAUACUGGCGUGCUUGAGGCCGGUAGAGGUUACUGGAACGGACGGUGGAGCGGUGAAAUGCGUAGAUAUCGUCUGGAACGCCAGUGGUGAAGACGGGUAACUAGACCGGAUCUGACACUGAGGCACGAAAGCGUGGGGAGCGAACGGGAUUAGAUACCCCCGGUAGUCCACGCCCUAAACAAUGCAGACUAGAUUGCAGCGGGUCUGACCCCGUUGCGGUCGGAGAAAAAUUGUUAAGUCUGCCACCUGGGAAGUACGGUCGCAAGGCUAAAACUCAAAGGAAUUGACGGGGGCUCACACAAGCGGUGGAGCAUGUGGCUCAAUUCGAAGCAACGCGAAGAACCUUAUCCUGGGCUUGACAUGUUGGAAGUAGAACAUAGAAAUAUGAACGACCGGUAUCCAAUCCGGAACCAACACAGGUGCUGCAUGGCUGUCGUCAGCUCGUGCUGUGAAGUGUCGGGUUAAGUCCC
This 527-nucleotide ribosomal RNA is filed under the name uncultured bacterium. Its description in RNAcentral is "bacterial SSU rRNA". It matches the Rfam family "Bacterial small subunit ribosomal RNA", at positions 572 to 1088 of the family's 1533-position model. The record is from RNAcentral.